Molecule: ribosomal RNA, 117 nt
Filed under: Clostridia bacterium
Lineage: Bacteria; Bacillati; Bacillota; Clostridia
Source: RNAcentral
GUCGGUGCCUAUAGCGAUGAGGGUCCACCCGUUCCCAUCCCGAACACGGAAGUUAAGCUCAUCAGUGCCGAAAAUACUUGGGGGGCAGCCCCCUGGGAAGAUAGGGCGACGCCGACA